CCGACGACAUACCGACGAUUUUUUCCCUCAGUAUACCGAUGUUUUCUUGUAGUGUUUUUGGAAUAAAAUGGUGAGACUGUCCUCCCUAUGUAAAUAAAUUUCAACGGAUAUUUUUCUCUUUUGUAUCCUCUAAUAUAGAAAAAGAUGAAAAACCCACAGUGGGCCUUGAACACACAACCACAAGUUUAAGAGCCUUGCACUCUACCAACUGAGGUAGACGGACUUGUUUCUCUCGACGGCCUAGAUGAGAUGUUAUUUCUUCUUUAUGACCUACAACUGUCUUUUUUUCUUCUUCUUUUUUUUUUUGUAACAGACUUACAAUUGUCUAAACCAUCAUUUUUAUGUAAACCUAUUAGUAAUAAGUUAACCAUUUAAUAUCCAAAACAAAUUAAAUUGAGUUCAGUUCCUGAUUUAGUUCAUCUAGUAAAAUUGAGAACCAACUAACAUCCCAAAAAAUGUUUAGUUCGAUUCUGUAAGACUGUAACUUCAAUUCUGAAAACUCAGUGUGUUUUAAAUUCAUAUAUCAUUAAUACCGAGAAAACUGCCAAUAAAACUCUGAACUUUAAAAUUAAACCCAAAAAAACUUUCAGCUUGUGUUUGUACCAAAAAAUUCUCCAAAUUUUAAAUGUUGAUCAUUUUAACUCUUAUUUUUUUUACUGGGUCAUUUAGAAACUCGGAAAAUCAACUAUUAAACCGUAAAUGUCUGUUAACUUGCUAAACGGUGUUGUUUUAAAUACUAAUUAAAAAUUCUUCUUCAACACCAAUACCAUUAUUCUCAGCCUUAUUAUCAUUCUCAUUAGUCUCACUAUCAUCUUCAUUAUCAUCUUUUUCACCGACUUGAUUUUGUUGUUCAAUCGUAGAUUCCCUAAUACUUUUCAUUUAAGAUCUCUUACUACGACGAACCCGAAGUAACCUCAUCGUCCUAGCCAUCGUUUGCAUUAUCAAUGAAUCUGGGUUUUAGAGAUUAGAAGAUUGAGAGAUUAGAGAAUUAGAAAAUUUAGGUUUCGGGAAAUAGAAGAUGAUUUAAAUGGUUACAGAUGUAAAACCGCAUUAUUUCAUUAAUGUUUAAUCAUUUCUUAAAACGUUGUCGUUGAGCGAGAUAACAGAUGUUUACAAGUUUAACAGUUGACUUUACAGGUUUUUAAAAUGGUCUAGUCAGCCAAAAAUGAGAGUUAAAAUGACUAACAUUUGAAAGUUGGAGUAUUUUUGGCUUUAAUUUGAAAGUUUAAAGUUUUUAUGGCGGUUUUCUCCAUUAAUACUUGAAAAUCUUGUAUGCUUUAAGAAUCUUGCAUUAUUUAUGGCAUUUAAAAAAUGAAUUUAUGGUAUCUUUCGUUUUCGUUAGUUUAAGUUUUUAUGUUGAUUUUCAAAAAGAAAAAAUAGAUGAUAUAUACGACGCUUGACAAAUAUCAAAUGAAUAACAUUGAAUGACACCCAGAUACGUUAUUUUUUUCUUACCUCCCUCUUUUGUAUUUUACUGCAACUAACGUAGUCCUAAGUUUGAAUAAUAUAAAAAAACAUUGAAUGACACUUAUUUUUCUUAUUAGAAAAAUUAAUGUAGUUCUAAGUAUGACUAACAUUUACUAACAUUGAAUGACACUUAACUUUCUUAUUAGAAAAACUAGUUCUAAGUAGGUAAUUUACUGUUGAAAAAUAAUAAUUUCCUUAAGAUUAUAUAAAUGACAAUACAUGCAAGAAAAUUUAUUUUAUUUCAGUAUAACACUAAAUAUAGAUGAUAUAUGACAAUUGAGCUAAUAUUGAUAAUAUUAUUUUUCCUAUUUUAUUAUAUUAUAUUUUACCUCUUUAAGAUGAUCAUUAAAUAUGUGAAGAUUUUUAACUGCAAGUCAGAACACUAUAUAUGUAUGGCGAAUUGACAAUAAACCAAACAUCACAUACUGUUUACAAAUAAAAUAAACAAAGAGAGAAAUACAUUAUAAGAUCAUCUAAAGCCAAACAAAAAUGAUUUCAAAGACAACUUUCAUAUACCUAUUCAUGUUCUCCCUUUAUGCUUUGCAUCAGUUUACACAAUUGGAUGCUGGAGAAAUAGAGAGUUCGAGCAAGAUAAUUCUUCCUCCAAAAUGUGUCCCUUACAUUUGUUAUGGAGUGAAUUGUUGGUGCUGUAAGAGGGAUCCAGUGGGCGAUGGUCAAUGUUUCAAAACCCUAGAAGAAUGCAAGUCCAAUCGCAAAUGUCCUUGGCUGUAACUGGUUGUUAUUAAAUGGAAUGUACGGGAUGAAAGGAAUUAAAAAAUUUGGAAUACUAAAAAUGGAAUGACAGACAAAAUAGAAUAAAAACUGAAACUAGUUAAUUCCA
Brassica napus (rape) is the source of this 2308-nucleotide long non-coding RNA. RefSeq lists it as uncharacterized. NCBI's taxonomy places the organism in Eukaryota, Viridiplantae, Streptophyta, Magnoliopsida, Brassicales, Brassicaceae. The transcript is spliced from 2 exons. The record is from RefSeq and is a predicted model, not a curated record.